This 255-nucleotide ribosomal RNA is filed under the name uncultured bacterium. Its description in RNAcentral is "partial 16S ribosomal RNA". It matches the Rfam family "Bacterial small subunit ribosomal RNA", at positions 524 to 777 of the family's 1533-position model. The record is from RNAcentral.
UGCAGAGGGUGCGAGCGUUGUCCGGAAUCACUGGGCGUAAAGGGCGCGUAGGUGGUGGCUUAAGCGUGCGGUGAAAGCUCGGAGCUCAACUCCGAGUCGGCCGUGCGAACUGGGCUCACUGGAGCAUAGUAGAGGCAGGUGGAAUUCCGGGUGUAGCGGUGGAAUGCGUAGAGAUCCGGAGGAACACCGGUGGCGAAGGCGGCCUGCUGGGCUAUGGCUGACGCUGAGACGCGAAAGCGUGGGGAGCAAACAGGG